GCCGCGGUAAUACGGAGGGUGCGAGCGUUAAUCGGAAUUACUGGGCGUAAAGCGCAUGCAGGUGGUUUGUUAAGUCAGAUGUGAAAGCCCGGGGCUCAACCUCGGAAUUGCAUUUGAAACUGGCAGGCUAGAGUACUGUAGAGGGGGGUAGAAUUUCAGGUGUAGCGGUGAAAUGCGUAGAGAUCUGAAGGAAUACCGGUGGCGAAGGCGGCCCCCUGGACAGAUACUGACACUCAGAUGCGAAAGCGUGGGGAGCAAACAGGAUUAGAUACCC
RNAcentral lists this ribosomal RNA (274 nucleotides) under Vibrio sp. BacPol11. Its description in RNAcentral is "partial 16S ribosomal RNA". It matches the Rfam family "Bacterial small subunit ribosomal RNA", at positions 514 to 787 of the family's 1533-position model. Lineage: Bacteria; Pseudomonadati; Pseudomonadota; Gammaproteobacteria; Vibrionales; Vibrionaceae. The record is from RNAcentral.